AAUUUGAUUUAGUUUAGUGGCGGACGGGUGAGUAACGCGUGAGUAACCUGCCUUCAAGAGGGGGAUAACAUUCUGAAAAGAAUGCUAAUACCGCAUGACAUAUCGGAACCACAUGGUUUUGAUAUCAAAGAUUUUAUCGCUUGAAGAUGGACUCGCGUCCGAUUAGUUAGUUGGUGAGGUAACGGCUCACCAAGACCGCGAUCGGUAGCCGGACUGAGAGGUUGAACGGCCACAUUGGGACUGAGACACGGCCCAGACUCCUACGGGAGGCAGCAGUGGGGGAUAUUGCGCAAUGGGGGCAACCCUGACGCAGCAACGCCGCGUGAAGGAUGAAGGUUUUCGGAUUGUAAACUUCUUUUAUUAAGGACGAAAAUUGACGGUACUUAAUGAAUAAGCUCCGGCUAACUACGUGCCAGCAGCCGCGGUAAUACGUAGGGAGCAAGCGUUGUCCGGAUUUACUGGGUGUAAAGGGUGCGUAGGCGGCUUUGCAAGUCAGAUGUGAAAUCUAUGGGCUCAACCCAUAAACUGCAUUUGAAACUGUAGAGCUUGAGUGAAGUAGAGGCAGGCGGAAUUCCCCGUGUAGCGGUGAAAUGCGUAGAGAUGGGGAGGAACACCAGUGGCGAAGGCGGCCUGCUGGGCUUUAACUGACGCUGAGGCACGAAAGCGUGGGUAGCAAACAGGAUUAGAUACCCUGGUAGUCCACGCUGUAA
Molecule: ribosomal RNA, 710 nt
Filed under: uncultured bacterium
Lineage: Bacteria
Description: bacterial SSU rRNA
Rfam family: Bacterial small subunit ribosomal RNA
Source: RNAcentral